RNAcentral lists this ribosomal RNA (274 nucleotides) under uncultured bacterium. Its description in RNAcentral is "partial 16S ribosomal RNA". It matches the Rfam family "Bacterial small subunit ribosomal RNA", at positions 524 to 795 of the family's 1533-position model. The record is from RNAcentral.
UACGUAGGUGGCAAGCGUUGUCCGGAAUUAUUGGGCGUAAAGCGCGCGCAGGCGGUCUCUUAAGUCUGAUGUGAAAGCCCCCGGCUCAACCGGGGAGGGUCAUUGGAAACUGGGAGACUUGAGUGCAGAAGAGAAGAGUGGAAUUCCACGUGUAGCGGUGAAAUGCGUAGAGAUGUGGAGGAACACCAGUGGCGAAGGCGACUCUUUGGUCUGUAACUGACGCUGAGGCGGCGAAAGCGUGGGGAGCAAACAGGAUUAGAAACCCCAGUACGUC